UACGUAGGGGGCUAGCGUUGUCCGGAUUUAUUGGGCGUAAAGAGCGUGUAGGCGGCCAGGUAGGUCUGCUGUGAAAACUCGAGGCUCAACCUCGAGACGUCGGCGGAAACCAUCUGGCUAGAGUCCGGAAGAGGAGAGUGGAAUUCCUGGUGUAGCGGUGAAAUGCGCAGAUAUCAGGAAGAACACCCGUGGCGAAGGCGGCUCUCUGGGACGGUACUGACGCUGAGACGCGAAAGCGUGGGAAGCGAACAGG
This 253-nucleotide ribosomal RNA is filed under the name uncultured bacterium. Its description in RNAcentral is "partial 16S ribosomal RNA". It matches the Rfam family "Bacterial small subunit ribosomal RNA", at positions 524 to 776 of the family's 1533-position model. The record is from RNAcentral.